GAUGAACGCUGGCGGCGUGCCUAAUACAUGCAAGUCGAGCGAACCACUUCGGUGGUGAGCGGCGAACGGGUGAGUAACACGUAGGUUAUCUGCCCAUCAGACGGGGACAACGAUUGGAAACGAUCGCUAAUACCGGAUAGGACGAAAGUUUAAAGGUGCUUCGGCACCACUGAUGGAUGAGCCUGCGGCGCAUUAGCUAGUUGGUAGGGUAAAGGCCUACCAAGGCGACGAUGCGUAGCCGACCUGAGAGGGUGAACGGCCACACUGGGACUGAGACACGGCCCAGACUCCUACGGGAGGCAGCAGUAGGGAAUCUUCGGCAAUGGGCGAAAGCCUGACCGAGCAACGCCGCGUGAAUGAUGAAGGCCUUCGGGUUGUAAAAUUCUGUUAUAAGGGAAGAAUGGCUCUAGUAGGAAAUGGCUAGAGUGUGACGGUACCUUAUGAGAAAGCCACGGCUAACUACGUGCCAGCAGCCGCAGUAA
RNAcentral lists this ribosomal RNA (482 nucleotides) under uncultured bacterium. RNAcentral describes it as "partial 16S ribosomal RNA". It matches the Rfam family "Bacterial small subunit ribosomal RNA", at positions 28 to 523 of the family's 1533-position model. The record is from RNAcentral.